ACGGAGUGCCCAUGACAGAGGAUUCGUCCAAUGGAUUGGGUUACUUAGUGGCGGACGGGUGAGUAACGCGUGAGGAACCUGCCUCGGAGUGGGGAAUAACACAACGAAAGCUGUGCUAAUACCGCAUGAUACAGUUGAGUCGCAUGACUCUGACUGUCAAAGAUUUAUCGCUCUGAGAUGGCCUCGCGUCUGAUUAGCUAGUUGGUGGGGUAACGGCCCACCAAGGCGACGAUCAGUAGCCGGACUGAGAGGUUGACCGGCCACAUUGGGACUGAGACACGGCCCAGACUCCUACGGGAGGCAGCAGUGGGGAAUAUUGGGCAAUGGGCGCAAGCCUGACCCAGCAACGCCGCGUGAAGGAAGAAGGCUUUCGGGUUGUAAA
Molecule: ribosomal RNA, 382 nt
Filed under: uncultured bacterium
Lineage: Bacteria
Description: bacterial SSU rRNA
Rfam family: Bacterial small subunit ribosomal RNA
Source: RNAcentral